GAUGAACGCUGGCGGCGUGCCUAAUACAUGCAAGUCGAGCGAACAGACGAGGAGCUUGCUCCUCUGACGUUUGCGGCGGACGGGUGAGUAACACGUGGAUAACCUCCCUAUAAGACUGGGAUAACUUCGGGAAACCGGAGCUAAUCCCGGAUAAUAUAUUGAACCGCAUGGUUCAAUAGUGAAAGACGGUUUUGCUGUCACUUAUAGAUGGAUCCGCGCGGCAUUAGUUAGUUGGUAAGGUAACGGCUUACCAAGGGAACGAUGCGUAGCCGACCUGAGAGGGGGAUCGGCCACACUGGAACGGGAACACGGUCCAGGCUCCUACGGGAGGCAGCAGUAGGGAAUCGGCCGCAGUGGGCGAAAGCCUGACGGAGCAACGCCGCGUGAGUUGUGAAGGUCUUCGGAGCGUAAAGCUCUGUUAUGAGGGAAGAACAAAUGUGUAAGUAACUAUGCACGUCUUGACGGUACCUAGUCAGAAAGCCACGGCUAACUACGUG
RNAcentral lists this ribosomal RNA (497 nucleotides) under uncultured bacterium. RNAcentral describes it as "partial 16S ribosomal RNA". It matches the Rfam family "Bacterial small subunit ribosomal RNA", at positions 28 to 507 of the family's 1533-position model. The record is from RNAcentral.